AGAACUCUUCCCGUAUCCCUAACCUUCUGAAGGCCACCACCACACCCGUAGCUUGCCAUGGAUCGCGCCGCCGCCCGACUCCCCACCGUCGCUGUUCCUCCCUGUCUCAUCCGCCGCCACAGCCCACCACAUCCACUCUAUGUCGCAUCCCACUGCUUCCACCGCCACCGUUAACCAUCUCUCGCCUUAGUCCUCUCUCUUGGACCAGCAUGCUGCGGCGGAUGCUUCCAGUCGUGUGGUGGCAACGUAGCUGGUCGCCUAUAAGCUACAACAAUGGUUCCUCCACUCAUCGGACCGCUGAGGCAUGGAUGUACCCGGUGAAGAUCGCGCUCCGCGUAGCAAAUUCGGCCAUGUUCUGAGUGGUUACUCGGCAAGGUAAUUUUCAUCUCUGAAGUUCUCUUAUGGACCGUGUAAUGGAUUUGUGGGUGCUCUAGAUGGAGUGCCACUGGAUUGCCAUGUUAGUGGGCAGAAUCUCCUCUCCUGCACACACGAACUUGGGUUUGGCAAGGAGCUGAGUCAAUACUACUAUCCUUUGGCUUUGCAAUGGUGAUUAGAUAGUUCUGUUUUUUCAAAUCAUGGUGCUUUAGUUAGUUUGUUAACAGGUAGAAGAGCAAUUGAUCAGAAGGCCCAUAAUAUUUUCAUGGAUGUAGAAGAAACCGAAAAGAUCCUUUCAUGGUUGUACAAGGAAGCCCUAAAAUACCUACCUUCACCUUCGCUUCCUCUAAUAUGUACUCUAUCCCUCCCCAAGUUGAAAAACAAAUCCACGUCUCUCUCAAAACCAAGUUGAGGCAUAGAUCCUGUGUAAUCAAGGAGCUUAUUGCGUCAAGAUUAUUUUCUUCCUCUGGAUCAGAUAGUGUUGCGCACUCAAGGGAUUCAAUCUAGAAUCUUCUCACCUACAGUACAACCUAUGGAUGCCCGAGAUCGGUCGGGUCAUAACUAUGCUCCUCAGGUGAGUUUAUAAAUUAAGAAACAUGUUGUCUAAACAAACAUAAACAUGAAGGAGCCUAAUGUCAGUUGUCAACAUGCCGCUGUUUAAGCCACUCCUAAAUCAAUUUUCGUAUGGGCAAAACAUGCCAGGAACCCUAGAUGGCAAGAUUAAUAUCUUUUCUUGAUUUCUUUUGUUGCUGCUCUGCCACAAUCUCCUGAUUAAGGAAGUACCUUGCCAAGCUGGCGUGUCCUGGCCGUUGUAGGUAAGAGAAUUGACUUUUGAUGAACUUUCUUCUGCUUAUCCUCUUUUAGUUAGAUAGUUAUAUUGUGAAACACUUGACAAAGAAGCUCUCUGUCAACUAUUAGAGUAUUGACGGUUUCUGUCGUAAAUCUGAAUGUUUUUGCGGGCAAUUGUUCUGUAAAAGCAAUGGCACAUGACAACUACUAAAGCAUUGAGUGUCAUUGCUGUUGCACUUUCUAUAAGUAUGGGGAUUGAUUUUCUGUCAAUUCUGCGUUACAACUUACGACUGACAACUACUAAAUUUCAAUGCCCUUUUUGACAAUUUUAGGUUAAAUAGAAUGGCGUGUGAAAUAAUUGGUGCUAUCAAUUAGGAGUAAUCAUGUCAUUGUUGGGUAAUGUAGCAGUUAUGCUCUGCAUUGAUAUUAAAGUCAACACAAAGGAACUCUCACAUAUGUUUGCUUUGUCUCCAACUGGGAAAUAAUGUGUGCGUACAUACCCACUUAAAUGUUACCCGCACUCCGUACUUGGCUCCGGUGAUACAGUUUAACGGCAAGACACACUUAUCUAACAAAGUGCUCACAACUUCCUAGCAAAUGCUGCUCAUUGAGUGCCUCCUCCAUUCAAUGAGGAAAAGUUGACUGCUUGAGAAAAAGAAGCUGUGAGUUCCCCACAUCUACUGAACAUCGUUUUGGUUACUUCGUUUCUCUUCUUGCAGUUUUUGCAUGGGCUGCAGAUGUGAUGCUUUGUAUGGGAACAAUACUGAUAUGAUUUGGGUUUGCUGCAUGUACAUUCGACUUAGUUGUACUCCGGAAUGUUUAAGAAAGUAAUUCGCAACAACGUGGAUGUCAGAUUUAUCAAGUACUGUCACUCUUGGUUUUGAAGGAUUUGAUUAUGGGAGUUUUAGUAUGCCGUGACCAAGUACAAUAGAUGUAAACACAAUUGUCGCUUCCUUAUUUGUAUGUGAUUCAGAUAUUUUAAAACCUUAUCUGUACCAUUGAAUUAUGUUUUUUUUCUGUGGGGAGUACCAUUGAAUUAUGUUGUUAUGUAGGUUGCCCGAUAUGUUCAUCGAUGCUGUGGACAACGAUUUUUAUUAUCGUUUCCCAUAUUUAUCUAAUUAGGUUUGCAAUUACACUUUGUUUUAUUUAUCAUCUGUAUCUAGAAAAUCAGAUUGUGAAGCUUAUAAUUUAUUAGUUUUUCUGUGAUUUCCCUUUAUUUUGCUGAUAGUCCACUACUCAGGAUUAUAAGAGCCACCAUCUUUGUGAGCAUUUUUCCUUCAAGUGUUCCAAGGUAUUAGUAUGGUUCUAUAGAGAAAGCUGCACAACAUGCCUAAUUUUGUACUUACCUUGCAGUUCUGUAGAUCUACUACAAUUAUAUGAUGUCAUCAAAUCAGACCUUUGCAAGCAUCACAAGAUAUCAGUAUAUAUAUGUAGCGCACCUUUGGUUCGAUCAUACAUUCAUAGUAGUUUGAUGUACUAUGUUUUGGUUGGCAGAGAGGAUUCUGAUGGUGACGCAUGAUUCAUUGUAUUUUGUUUUGUAUUCAGGCCGAUGAAAUUGCUGGACUAGAAAAAAAAUUGUGUGUGUAUAAGUCAUCCAGCUCCGAGAGCGCGCGGAGCGAUGCUUGGGCAACUCUUAGAAAAUGGGUUGUGGGCCGCUCCGCUCCGGCGCGGUGCUGCGGAGCGGAGAACUACCGAACAGCGCCUUUGCGUUAGGAUUAAGAGCAUGAUAAUUGCAAGGAUUUUCAGUUUUGAAAGGCAGAUGAAAUUGUUGGACUGAAAAGAAAUCAGUGUGUAUGUAUGGUAGUUCUCAUUGCAAUGUCCACUUUACUCUACCGAAGGUGUUGUUGUUAAUAAUAAUUUUUGUAUUGUAAUAACUUGUGGUUGGACACUUGAGCUCCGUUAGUAAGUCCUUACUAUGAAAUAUAUUCACUAAUGUACUAACUGCAAAAUUAAUGUGUACGCAGUUACAUGGUUCAUUAUUUAUUUAUUACAAAUAUAUGGUAGUUUACAUGCAAGUCUAGCAAUAUUUUGGAAAUACUUUCUAUUUCAGUGAUGACACUUGAGUUUUGCCACAAAAUAAGAAGUGCCAGGAUACGGCUUACUACAGAAACUAAAUUUCUAUAAAAUUCACUGCUGCUCUUUUGAUAUUUUUUUCCGCCAAACAAAUGUUUGAAUUUUAGUACUUUAUCAUCUCAUCAACUUUAUAGAUGUAUUAAGUAAAGUCACGUGCAUUUGUUAGGUUCUCAGUUGGCUUUUCUUGAUUAUAGGUAGUGUGCAAUAUUUUACUACCCCCAACUUCAAAAAGAGGCU
Molecule: long non-coding RNA, 3474 nt
Organism: Triticum aestivum (bread wheat)
Lineage: Eukaryota; Viridiplantae; Streptophyta; Magnoliopsida; Poales; Poaceae
Exons: 4
Source: RefSeq, a predicted model, not a curated record